AGACCCGAAACCCGGUGAUCUAGCCAUGGGCAGGUUGAAGGUUGGGUAACACUAACUGGAGGACCGAACCGACUAAUGUUGAAAAAUUAGCGGAUGACCUGUGGCUGGGGGUGAAAGGCCAAUCAAACCGGGAGAUAGCUGGUUCUCCCCGAAAGCUAUUUAGGUAGCGCCUCGUGAAUUCAUCUCCGGGGGUAGAGCACUGUUUCGGCUAGGGGGCCAUCCCGGCUUACCAACCCGAUGCAAACUGCGAAUACCGGAGAAUGUUAUCACGGGAGACACACGGCGGGUGCUAACGUCCGUCGUGAAGAGGGAAACAACCCAGACCGCCAGCUAAGGUCCCAAAGUCAUGGUUAAGUGGGAAACGAUGUGGGAAGGCCCAGACAGCCAGGAUGUUGGCUUAGAAGCAGCCAUCAUUUAAAGAAAGCGUAAUAGCUCACUGGUCGAGUCGGCCUGCGCGGAAGAUGUAACGGGGCUAAACCAUGCACCGAAGCUGCGGCAGCGACACUCAGGUGUUGUUGGGUAGGGGAGCGUUCUGUAAGCCUGCGAAGGUGGCCUGUGAGGGUUGCUGGAGGUAUCAGAAGUGCGAAUGCUGACAUAAGUAACGAUAAAGCGGGUGAAAAGCCCGCUCGCCGGAAGACCAAGGGUUCCUGUCCAACGUUAAUCGGGGCAGGGUGAGUCGACCCCUAAGGCGAGGCCGAAAGGCGUAGUCGAUGGGAAACGGGUUAAUAUUCCCGUACUUGGUGUUACUGCGAAGGGGGGACGGAGAAGGCUAUGUUGGCCGGGCGACGGUUGUCCCGGUUUAAGCGUGUAGGUGUGUGUUCCAGGUAAAUCCGGUUCACUUUAACACUGAGGCGUGACGACGAGGCACUACGGUGCUGAAGCAACAAAUGCCCUGCUUCCAGGAAAAGCCUCUAAGCAUCAGGUAACAUCAAAUCGUACCCCAAACCGACACAGGUGGUCAGGUAGAGAAUACCAAGGCGCUUGAGAGAACUCGGGUGAAGGAACUAGGCAAAAUGGUGCCGUAACUUCGGGAGAAGGCACGCUGACACGUAGGUGAAGUGAUUUACUCAUGGAGCUGAAGUCAGUCGAAGAUACCAGCUGGCUGCAACUGUUUAUUAAAAACACAGCACUGUGCAAACACGAAAGUGGACGUAUACGGUGUGACGCCUGCCCGGUGCCGGAAGGUUAAUUGAUGGGGUCAGCGCAAGCGAAGCUCCUGAUCGAAGCCCCGGUAAACGGCGGCCGUAACUAUAACGGUCCUAAGGUAGCGAAAUUCCUUGUCGGGUAAGUUCCGACCUGCACGAAUGGCGUAAUGAUGGCCAGGCUGUCUCCACCCGAGACUCAGUGAAAUUGAACUCGCUGUGAAGAUGCAGUGUACCCGCGGCAAGACGGAAAGACCCCGUGAACCUUUACUAUAGCUUGACACUGAACAUUGAGCCUUGAUGUGUAGGAUAGGUGGGAGGCUUUGAAGUGUGGACGCCAGUCUGCAUGGAGCCGACCUUGAAAUACCACCCUUUAAUGUUUGAUGUUCUAACGUGGACCCGUGAUCCGGGUUGCGGACAGUGUCUGGUGGGUAGUUUGACUGGGGCGGUCUCCUCCUAAAGAGUAACGGAGGAGCACGAAGGUUGGCUAAUCCUGGUCGGACAUCAGGAGGUUAGUGCAAUGGCAUAAGCCAGCUUGACUGCGAGCGUGACGGCGCGAGCAGGUGCGAAAGCAGGUCAUAGUGAUCCGGUGGUUCUGAAUGGAAGGGCCAUCGCUCAACGGAUAAAAGGUACUCCGGGGAUAACAGGCUGAUACCGCCCAAGAGUUCAUAUCGACGGCGGUGUUUGGCACCUCGAUGUCGGCUCAUCACAUCCUGGGGCUGAAGUAGGUCCCAAGGGUAUGGCUGUUCGCCAUUUAAAGUGGUACGCGAGCUGGGUUUAGAACGUCGUGAGACAGUUCGGUCCCUAUCUGCCGUGGGCGCUGGAGAACUGAGGGGGGCUGCUCCUAGUACGAGAGGACCGGAGUGGACGCAUCACUGGUGUUCGGGUUGUCAUGCCAAUGGCACUGCCCGGUAGCUAAAUGCGGAAGAGAUAAGUGCUGAAAGCAUCUAAGCACGAAACUUGCCCCGAGA
Molecule: ribosomal RNA, 2113 nt
Filed under: Salmonella enterica subsp. enterica serovar Durban
Lineage: Bacteria; Pseudomonadati; Pseudomonadota; Gammaproteobacteria; Enterobacterales; Enterobacteriaceae
Description: partial 23S ribosomal RNA
Rfam family: Bacterial large subunit ribosomal RNA
Source: RNAcentral